This 1199-nucleotide long non-coding RNA is filed under the name Felis catus (domestic cat). RNAcentral describes it as "lncRNA (ENSFCAG00000052784.1)". Lineage: Eukaryota; Metazoa; Chordata; Mammalia; Carnivora; Felidae. The record is from RNAcentral.
GAGGGAGGCAGGAUCGACGUGUCCUCUCCCAUGAAAGAAAACUGUUUUCAACAAGACGUGAUGGAAUAAAUGCAAAGAGAGGAAUGACAGCGCAAAAGGAGUGUGCUAUCAAGUCCGAGUGUGUAAGCAAGAACCGCGAGGCAGGGUAUGCAGACAGCAGAGAGCAUCUACAAAGUGAAUGGAUGAAGAAGGGAGAGCAGAGGAAAAGAACGUUCUUGGGACGUCCUCCCUGCCGGGUCCAGAUCCCCAAAGAUUGCCCCAGGUGCCAGGAGUGGACCGCUCACGGGAAGAAACCCCUUCCACCUGCUACGGUCUCAGGGGACUUUUCCAGAAAGUCUCUCUCUGGGAGCUGACUCAGUGCCGUGCCCACUCUGGCUGUUCUGAGCACCCUGCUUAGCCUGAGGCUGUUCCUCAGGUGUCAGAAAGAAGCCGGUGGGUGACUGUCCCUCUGCCGCGGUGAAAAGAAAAGGGGCCGUUUGGGCUCUGUGUUCCUGUUUUGAUUCCCGGGCACAGAAGUAGUGCCGGCACUGGGUUGAUUUAAUUAUUGUUGAACUAUUAUUCAAAAGCAUGAGACUGAAAAUGGGGGUGGCGGGGUGGGGUGGAAGGUUAGGGUGAUUUCACCUUUCUAAUUGGUGUCUACCUUUGCCCACAGGUCAACAAAAAUAACCCCAGCCUUAGCCUGGAAGACAUAGAGUGUGGCCAGGGCUGUCAGCAACUGCAAAGGGCAGGGAGGGAAGGACCAACAGGGAUAUGGCGGCAGGGUUGGGGCCGGCGGACAGGUGUUGGUGGGCAGGGUUGGGGUCAGGGGACAGGUUGCAAACGCUCCCUGUUGGGGGCCCCUGCCAAACUGCCUAGAAGCAGCGUCCUUUCUUCCCGGAGUGAACUUCUCAAGGCACCGUGAAGCGCCUGCCGGUCAGAAGUGCUCGGAGUGGAGCCGGCUUAGGGGCUUGCUGUUGUCUGUACCUCGGUACCUAGUUCAGGUAUACGUAGGAUCGUCAUUGGAGGAAACCAGAACUCCUCGCCAGGAGAGAGGGUGGGCGCCUCUGUCUCUCCGUCUCCGAGAAGGUGGUGGCUACGGCAUUGCUGCGCGAUCAUGAACCUUCUCCGGAGACAACCGCAGUUAGGGUUCUCUCCGCCCGGCGGAGGAGUUGGGGGGGGGUGGUGGGAGUCGGUGGGGCUGCGUGAAGGCCUGGCUGGUG